RNAcentral lists this unclassified non-coding RNA (268 nucleotides) under Hevea brasiliensis (rubber tree). Lineage: Eukaryota; Viridiplantae; Streptophyta; Magnoliopsida; Malpighiales; Euphorbiaceae. The record is from RNAcentral.
GGGACUGAUAAAAGGUUGCAGAAAGAGAAUGGAGAAAGACGGAACUGUUACUGAUUCGGAGAUUGAAGGGAAGAAGAAAUCGUUGAUUGAAGUGUUGUUAACACUGCAAGAAAAGGAACCGGAAUAUUACAAAGACGAAAUAAUCAGAAGCCUUAUGCUUGUACUAUUAGCAGCAGGUACUGAUACUUCAGUUGGGACAAUGGAAUGGGCUUUAUCACUUAUGUUAAACCAUCCUGAAACACUGAAGAAAGCACAAGCUGAAAUCGAC